GAUAGGAUGGCUGAGUUUUUAAGCGGUGGAUUGUAGCCCCAUAGACAGAGGUUUAAAUCCUCUUCCCAUCA
Molecule: transfer RNA, 71 nt
Filed under: Pagothenia borchgrevinki (bald rockcod)
Lineage: Eukaryota; Metazoa; Chordata; Actinopteri; Perciformes; Nototheniidae
Description: tRNA-Tyr
Rfam family: tRNA
About the family: Transfer RNA (tRNA) molecules are approximately 80 nucleotides in length. Their secondary structure includes four short double-helical elements and three loops (D, anti-codon, and T loops).
Source: RNAcentral